GAGUAUUUUAGUAUUACGCGCGGUAAAAAUAACCAUUAUUUUUGAGCCGAAAGUGGUUGUUUUUACCGCGCGUAAUACUAAAAUACUC
Paramuricea clavata is the source of this 88-nucleotide non-coding RNA. NCBI's taxonomy places the organism in Eukaryota, Metazoa, Cnidaria, Anthozoa, Malacalcyonacea, Plexauridae. The record is from the annotation of a GenBank genome assembly.